RNAcentral lists this ribosomal RNA (253 nucleotides) under uncultured bacterium. Its description in RNAcentral is "partial 16S ribosomal RNA". It matches the Rfam family "Bacterial small subunit ribosomal RNA", at positions 524 to 776 of the family's 1533-position model. The record is from RNAcentral.
UACGUAGGGUGCGAGCGUUGUCCGGAAUUAUUGGGCGUAAAGGGCUCGUAGGCGGUUUGUCGCGUCGGGAGUGAAAACUCAGGGCUUAACCCUGAGCCUGCUUCCGAUACGGGCAGACUAGAGGUAUGCAGGGGAGAAUGGAAUUCCUGGUGUAGCGGUGAAAUGCGCAGAUACCAGGAGGAACACCGGUGGCGAAGGCGGUUCUCUGGGCAUUACCUGACGCUGAGGAGCGAAAGUGUGGGGAGCGAACAGG